ACGGAAGGCAGCAGUGGGGAAUAUUGGGCAAUGGGCGCAAGCCUGACCCAGCAACGCCGCGUGAAGGAAGAAGGCUUUCGGGUUGUAAACUUCUUUUGUCAGGGACGAACAAACUGACGGUACCUGAAGAAUAAGCCACGGCUAACUACGUGCCAGCAGCCGCGGUAAUACGUAGGUGGCAAGCGUUGUCAGUAUUUACUGGGGGUAAAGGGCGCGUAGGCGGGAUGACAAGUCAGGUGUGAAAUCUAUGGGCUUAACCCAUAAACUGCACUUGAAACUGCCAUUCUUGAGUGUCGGAGAGGUAGAUGGAAUUCCUAGUGUAGCGGUGAAAUGCGUAGAUAUUAGGGGGAACACCAGUGGCGAAGGCGAUCUACUGGACGAUAACUGACGCUGAGGCGCGAAAGCGUGGGGAGCGAACAGGAUUAGAUACCCUGGUA
This 437-nucleotide ribosomal RNA is filed under the name uncultured Oscillospiraceae bacterium. RNAcentral's name for it is "bacterial SSU rRNA". It matches the Rfam family "Bacterial small subunit ribosomal RNA", at positions 341 to 792 of the family's 1533-position model. The record is from RNAcentral. Lineage: Bacteria; Bacillati; Bacillota; Clostridia; Eubacteriales; Oscillospiraceae.